RNAcentral lists this ribosomal RNA (465 nucleotides) under uncultured bacterium. Its description in RNAcentral is "partial 16S ribosomal RNA". It matches the Rfam family "Bacterial small subunit ribosomal RNA", at positions 338 to 795 of the family's 1533-position model. The record is from RNAcentral.
CCUACGGGUGGCAGCAGUGGGGAAUAUUGCGCAAUGGGCGAAAGCCUGACGCAGCGACGCCGCGUGAGGGAUGAAGGUCUUCGGAUCGUAAACCUCUGUCAGCAGGGAAGAACGGUCACUGUGCUAAUCAGCAGUGAAUUGACGGUACCGGCAAAGGAAGCACCGGCUAACUCCGUGCCAGCAGCCGCGGUAAUACGGAGGGUGCGAGCGUUAAUCGGAAUUACUGGGCGUAAAGCGCUCGUAGGCGGUAUGUCAAGUCAAGGGUGAAAUCCCCGCGCUCAACGUGGGAACUGCCUUUGAAACUGGCAAACUGGAGUGUGUGAGAGGAUAGUGGAAUGCCAGGUGUAGGGGUGAAAUGCGUAGAUAUCUGGAGGAACAUCAGUGGCGAAGGCGACUAUCUGGCACAUAACUGACGCUGAGGAGCGAAAGCGUGGGUAGCAAACAGGAUUAGAUACCCUUGUAGUC